UGUAGAUGAAUCACAUUAAUCUCUGCUGUCAUAAUCACCUGGCAUUCUUCUUGCUUAUGUGUAUCUCCGUGUUCAAAUAUCUGCUUUUUAUAAAGACUUCAGUCAUGCUAAAUUAGGGCCUGCCCUAAUGACCUCGCCUGAACUUGAUCAUCUACAAAGAACCUAUUUCCAAACAAGGUCACACUCACAGAUGUAUCAUGCUGGAAGAAGGAAGCCACAUUCCAGUCUUGAACCCUGACGCUCAUGGGGAAGACAUUAGGGAUGUUAACAUCAGUUUCACCACUGGAGCUCUGGGGCCAUCAGUCACUAGUACCCAUUGAAGCACAACACCUGCUGUGCUGUUGAAAUAUUUCCUCACCUGCAAUCAACACCUCUAGAAUAGUUUUCCCCAUGAGCCUCAGGGUUCAAGACUGAAAUGUAUCGACCGUCUUCCAAAUGUGGAUUUAGUAUUCUUUGUGUGAU
Non-coding RNA from Microcebus murinus (gray mouse lemur), 462 nucleotides. The record is from RefSeq and is a predicted model, not a curated record. Lineage: Eukaryota; Metazoa; Chordata; Mammalia; Primates; Cheirogaleidae.